UUGGUUAUUAACUGAAGGAAGUUGAUCUGCAAUUAUUCUAGCAGGUAACUGAACCAUGGUAUAGAGAGAACAUAAAAGAAGGAAUCUGGGCUUGCUGUGGUCUUUAUUAAUUUCUUCAUUAUGAAUACCUCUCCUAUGUUCUUCUAAGCCCCCACCCCACCACAUGUGAUAAGGAAAUAGAAAAGAGAGCAGCAGAGUGUCUACCGUUGGCACAAUGGGCUGUGUUUCUCUAACUCUGGGGCCUUGAGUUGUUGGAGAGGACAUCACGAAAGGCUCGUGUCCCCAUCGAACAGACCCUGGGAACUGGGGCAGCAGAAGCAGCUCUGAUGUGAAUUUGGAGAUAAGAGCAUGUUCUACACUCUUGGACCCGGACAAAUUUGGUCUCGCGUGAUUGGAUCAGAGUGACACCACUUGUGGCCUCAUGAAGCCCCAAAGCCUUCUUGGUUCCUGUCUUUGUGGAGUGCGGAUGACCUCUCUAGGAGCAGGAGACGAGUGUGAUGAAGUACUGAGAGGUUCCACAUGGAUAUAGAAGAUGAUGUUCCCCUUGGGAGAGAGGAUCAAAGCCCCCCCCGGGCUGUUUGCUGCUGAGUUUUACUCCUAAUAAUCUUUGUGGCUUCUGCCCCAACCUGCCUGCAGGGCUCUGAGAUGGAGUGAGCUCAAAACUGUGGAAAAACAAAGAAUACGGAGAAAAAUCCAUUACUCUUAGCAUCCGAGCUGGUGUUCCAAACAGAUAGAUCGAAGCCUUGGCUGGAGAGAGGGGAGAGAGAGAGAGAGAGAGAGAGAGAGAGAGAGAGAGAGAGAGAGAGAGAGAGACAGAAGCAGAAAUGUUUAUGGUUUACCCUUGGGAACCUGGAUUGGAUCUUAAUAACUUGUAAGGCCUGGACAGCUCACACUGAACCUCUGCAUGAAGCUCAACACAUAUUUGUCAAAUGGCUGGAUCCAUUCAUCCACUCACCGAAUGAGCACUGUGUGAGCUGCAGUGCCCAUGGCGUUGAACUUGGAAACCUGAGGAAAUGAUGAUACCAGCAAGAGAAAGGGGAAGCUGGAGAAGGACCUCGUCUUGGGAGUAGAUUGUAAGUUUGAAUUCACCCACGGCUGGCCUUAGGUAAUGUGAUAGUCAAGAUCCAGUGUCCAUGGACAGCAGGUGGCUGGAAAAGAGGACUCAAGGUUGACUUUGAUGAUCACAGCACGGAGUCAGUUCUCGUCUAGGAAAACAUGAUCAUAUUUGGUGUUUUAAAGAGACUUUGCUAUGUGAGAUGUGUCCAAAUGGAGGAACGAGGAUGGUGCAGGGCUGAGACUGUGGCUAGAACAUUUGGCUUCAUAGAGCAAAGUCUACAAGGAUAUAUUUAGUUGUCAUUGUAUUUGGUGGCCUCACAUUCAGCAGGAGUAGACUUGUCCUGUGUCACUGCUGAUGGAUAAUUCUCCACGGAUCUCUCAGGUUCUGUCCCUGUUGCAAGUAAGGCACUUACUGCUCUGUUCUGGACUCUCUUAAAACUACACAUACAGCACAGCUUUGGAGCACAGAGAUAAUGCCAAAGUUCUUUAUCAAGCUUGAGAUCCCUACUGUAAUUAUUACAAUUCUCCUUUUUUUUUUUUUUUUGAGAUGGAAUUUCACUCUUGUUGCCCAGUCUGGAGUACAAUGGUGCGAUCUUGGCUCACCGCAACCUCCACCUCCAGGGUUCAAGCAAUUCUCCUGCCUCGGCCUCCCGAGUAGUUGGGAUUACAGGCAUGCGCCAGAAUUCUCAGCUAAUUUUGUAUUUUCAGUAGAGAUGGGAUUUCUCCAUGUUGGUCAGGCUGGUCUCGAACUCCCGACCUCAGGUGAUCCACCUGCCUCGGCCUCCCAAAGUGCUGGGAUUAUAGGCGUGAGCCACCGCUCCCGGCCCAGUUAUUAUUCUUAUCCAAUUACUUGCUUCCUUGGUGCUGACAGAAAGAUUAAUUUAAAUAAAAUACCCUGCUGGGUAAUAUCUGCUUUUUAGUUUCCGAUAAAGUCCAGGGCAUGCCUGGAAGGGCUUCCAGGAAGGGGUCUUCUGAUGAGUCAGCCGAUGUGCCUCCCCAACUUCAUGGAAGACCCCGUUGUCAGAAGUUUGAAGGACAUAUACCAUGCUUGCACAUGUUCGACGGAUAAUUUAAAAAAUUUAAAUGUAAAUAGUUGUUAAGGAUAUAAUUUCCAAUGAACCUGGAAACCAUCAUUCUCAGCAAACUGACACAAGAACAGAAAAUCAAACACCGCAUGUUCUCACUCAUAGGUGGGUGUUGAACAAUGAGAACACAUGGACACAGGGAGGGGAGCAUCACACA
Non-coding RNA from Callithrix jacchus (white-tufted-ear marmoset), 2298 nucleotides. Lineage: Eukaryota; Metazoa; Chordata; Mammalia; Primates; Cebidae. The record is from RefSeq and is a predicted model, not a curated record.